This 977-nucleotide ribosomal RNA is filed under the name Staphylococcus aureus. Its description in RNAcentral is "partial 23S ribosomal RNA". It matches the Rfam family "Bacterial large subunit ribosomal RNA", at positions 1154 to 2132 of the family's 2925-position model. Lineage: Bacteria; Bacillati; Bacillota; Bacilli; Caryophanales; Staphylococcaceae. The record is from RNAcentral.
UGACACUGCGCCGAAAAUGUACCGGGGCUAAACAUAUUACCGAAGCUGUGGAUUGUCCUUUGGACAAUGGUAGGAGAGCGUUCUAAGGGCGUUGAAGCAUGAUCGUAAGGACAUGUGGAGCGCUUAGAAGUGAGAAUGCCGGUGUGAGUAGCGAAAGACGGGUGAGAAUCCCGUCCACCGAUUGACUAAGGUUUCCAGAGGAAGGCUCGUCCGCUCUGGGUUAGUCGGGUCCUAAGCUGAGGCCGACAGGCGUAGGCGAUGGAUAACAGGUUGAUAUUCCUGUACCACCUAUAAUCGUUUUAAUCGAUGGGGGGACGCAGUAGGAUAGGCGAAGCGUGCGAUUGGAUUGCACGUCUAAGCAGUAAGGCUGAGUAUUAGGCAAAUCCGGUACUCAUUAAGGCUGAGCUGUGAUGGGGAGAAGACAUUGUGUCUUCGAGUCGUUGAUUUCACACUGCCGAGAAAAGCCUCUAGAUAGAAAAUAGGUGCCCGUACCGCAAACCGACACAGGUAGUCAAGAUGAGAAUUCUAAGGUGAGCGAGCGAACUCUCGUUAAGGAACUCGGCAAAAUGACCCCGUAACUUCGGGAGAAGGGGUGCUCUUUAGGGUUAACGCCCAGAAGAGCCGCAGUGAAUAGGCCCAAGCGACUGUUUAUCAAAAACACAGGUCUCUGCUAAACCGUAAGGUGAUGUAUAGGGGCUGACGCCUGCCCGGUGCUGGAAGGUUAAGAGGAGUGGUUAGCUUCUGCGAAGCUACGAAUCGAAGCCCCAGUAAACGGCGGCCGUAACUAUAACGGUCCUAAGGUAGCGAAAUUCCUUGUCGGGUAAGUUCCGACCCGCACGAAAGGCGUAACGAUUUGGGCACUGUCUCAACGAGAGACUCGGUGAAAUCAUAGUACCUGUGAAGAUGCAGGUUACCCGCGACAGGACGGAAAGACCCCGUGGAGCUUUACUGUAGCCUGAUAUUGAAAUUCGGCACAG